UGGGGAAUUUUGGACAAUGGGCGAAAGCCUGAUCCAGCAAUGCCGCGUGUGUGAAGAAGGCCUUCGGGUUGUAAAGCACUUUUGUCCGGAAAGAAAUCCUUGGCUCUAAUACAGUCGGGGGAUGACGGUACCGGAAGAAUAAGCACCGGCUAACUACGUGCCAGCAGCCGCGGUAAUACGUAGGGUGCAAGCGUUAAUCGGAAUUACUGGGCGUAAAGCGUGCGCAGGCGGUUUGCUAAGACCGAUGUGAAAUCCCCGGGCUCAACCUGGGAACUGCAUUGGUGACUGGCAGGCUAGAGUAUGGCAGAGGGGGGUAGAAUUCCACGUGUAGCAGUGAAAUGCGUAGAGAUGUGGAGGAAUACCGAUGGCGAAGGCAGCCCCCUGGGGCCAAUACUGACGCUCAUGCACGAAAGCGUGGGGAGCAAACAGGAUUAGAUACCCUGGUAGUCCACGCCCUAAACGAUGUCAACUAGUUGUUGGGGAUUCAUUUCCUUAGUAACGUAGCUAACGCGUGAAGUUGACCGCCUGGGGAGUACGGUCGCAAGAUUAAAACUUAAAUGAAUUGACGGGGUCAUAGCUG
This 580-nucleotide ribosomal RNA is filed under the name uncultured bacterium. RNAcentral describes it as "partial 16S ribosomal RNA". It matches the Rfam family "Bacterial small subunit ribosomal RNA", at positions 355 to 932 of the family's 1533-position model. The record is from RNAcentral.